This is a long non-coding RNA of Gopherus agassizii (Agassiz's desert tortoise), 1847 nucleotides long. The record is from Ensembl. NCBI's taxonomy places the organism in Eukaryota, Metazoa, Chordata, Testudines, Testudinidae.
GUUCUCUAGCUAGCAAUUCAACAGGUUGAGUGUGCAUUGUGUGCUUUUUAAUUGUUUCUAUAAGGGUGUAAUGGGACAGGGAGAAGAAGAACGUAGACAACAUUGCAGAUUCCAAUGAUAACUUUUGUUUUUCCCUCUUGUUUUGUUUGUUUCCACAGACAAAGAAGUCAAGGAUAAGAGCCCACGCCCCUUGUGAGAUGGAAAGCACACAAGAGCUGUGAGACAGCGAGCAUUGUUGAUGCCAGGCUAUGCAGAUGCCGUCGAGCUGGGAGUGGAGCAGCCGUCACCAUCAGUGAGAUAAGUGUCUGGUCUGGUGAGGACUCUGGUAAUGGCCUACGUGACUCCCUCCCACGUUUUUUUCUUUUUCUCCUCUAAUGUGUUGGCCAGCACAUUCUGUCUGUCUCUCCCCAUCUCCUUGCCUCUCUUUGUGCCGUCUCCCUUCAUAGGACACGGGCAGGUAUGGUAGGUGUGCAACACCACAGGCUAGGUCUUGUGAGGUAUGGAAAUCAUGCAGUGCAGUGGGCGCUAAAGUGCAGCACUGACUGUGGGUGUUGGCUGAGCCUCUGCUCUAGUGGGGCUGAUGUGGAUGGGAUCGGAGAGGGAGAUAGGGAUGGGGGCAAGAUUUCACGCACUAACUGAAUUUUGUGCAGUGAUGACUCUUGCUUGGCUUAUUGGCUGUGCUUGCAGAGGAGUCGUCCGGGAGCAGCAGGUGGAGGAGAAACAGCCAGAUGUGGACUUGAGCGGCCUCGACAUCCUUUACCAAGGGAAAAGACGUGGAGGGUCAAGAGUCCGCUCCCCUCAUUUGAUGGAAAGCGAGGGAGAGCAGGGAGACCACAAGCAUUAUUGAUGCCAGGCAGGAGCCAUCCAGCUGGGAGCGGAGCAGCCAUCAUCAUCAGUGAGAUAAGUGCCUGUUCGUUGAGGGCUCUGCUCACUGCCCACUUGGCUCCAGGUACAGACACCCCGUCAGCUGGGGCUGGGUUUGUAACAAAAUGUUUGUGACUAGCUGAGGGAGGGAGACAAGGUUCCCCAUUUUCAGGGUCUGCCCAUUUCUCUGUACACAUGCGGUGUGUCCUCGGCAGAAAAAGUUGGAUCCAGGAAGAUGAUUCCAGGUGGCGAGUUGCUUGUUUUCCUCUUUUGUGUUUCUCUCUCUCUCUCUCUCUCUUUCUCUCCUCUAGUGUGUUGGUCGGGUGUCAUUGUAAGGGGUGCUUUCUNAAAGGAAGAGGUGGCAGAAGAGGAUCUGAGCUUCCUGGACAUCCUUCUAAGAUCUGAACAGGCUUCUGCUUUCUGCCUCCUGCUUAAUUGGCUGUGAGUAAGCAAUCAAUACUUCGAAUUGCACAUCUGUACUCACUGUAGUUUUCUUCACAGGCUAGAAGCCCAACAAUCUAGAAGCCAGAAACUGUCUAACAAGCAACUCGGAAACCAAUUAAACCGAAAACAAGCCUAAUUUCUGCGUCGUCUUUGCAGGUUUGUCAUGUCUGACCAAAGUCUGCUGUUCAGAGUGACUAUUUCAGGUUGCAAGGGGUGCUUUCUAGUUGUAGUCUUAAAGGCGUAAUGGUGGUGUGGGGGAGUGGUUGGGGACAGGGCUCUGGGAUGUGUUAGAUGCAAGAAGAGAUUUUGUGACAUUGUGGCCUGAGAUGCUGACUACUUGGUUUUUCCUCUUUGUCCAGUGUUUGUUAAAAAUGGAAAAGAAGUCAAACAUAAGAGUUUACUCCCCUCGUACGAUGAAAUGCGAGCGAGGGCAGGGCGACCACAAACCUUCUUGAAAUCAGGCGGGAACCAUACAUCUGGGAGUGGAGCAGCCACGACUGUCAGCGAGACAAGUGUCUGGUUUGGUGAGGUNUUGUGGC